Molecule: ribosomal RNA, 792 nt
Filed under: uncultured bacterium
Lineage: Bacteria
Description: bacterial SSU rRNA
Rfam family: Bacterial small subunit ribosomal RNA
Source: RNAcentral
CAAGUCGUACGAGAGUUUUUAACUCAAGUGGCGGACGGGUGAGUAACCCUUUAGAAUUUGCCUUUAGGAGGGGGACAACAACUGGAAACGGUUGCUAAUACCCCAUAUGCUUUCGAGUGAAACGGUUUUUCCGCCUAAAGAGAAGCUUGCGGCUGAUUAGCUUGUUGGUAAGGUAAUGGCUUACCAAGGCGACGAUCAGUAUCUGGUUUGAGAGGACGAUCAGACACACUGGAACUGAGACACGGUCCAGACUCCUACGGGAGGCAGCAGUGGGGAAUUUUCCGCAAUGGGCGAAAGCCUGACGGAGCAAUACCGCGUGAGGGAUGAAUGCCUAUGGGUUGUAAACCUCUUUUUUCAGGGAGGAAUCAAUGACGUUACCUGAAGAAUAAGCAUCGGCUAACUCCGUGCCAGCAGCCGCGGUAAGACGGAGGAUGCAAGUGUUAUCCGGAAUCACUGGGCGUAAAGCGUCUGUAGGUGGUUUGAUAAGUCAACUGUUAAAUCUUGAGGCUCAACCUCAAAAUCGCAGUCGAAACUAUUAGACUAGAGUAUAGUAGGGGUAAAGGGAAUUUCCAGUGGAGCGGUGAAAUGCGUAGAGAUUGGAAAGAACACCGAUGGCGAAGGCACUUUACUGGGCUAUUACUAACACUGAGAGACGAAAGCUAGGGUAGCAAAUGGGAUUAGAUACCCCAGUAGUCCUAGCUGUAAACAAUGGAUACUAGAUGUUGAACAGAUCGACCUGUGCAGUAUUAAAGCUAACGCGUUAAGUAUCCCGCCUGGGAAGUAUGCUCGCAA